Molecule: transfer RNA, 65 nt
Filed under: Clostera anastomosis
Lineage: Eukaryota; Metazoa; Arthropoda; Insecta; Lepidoptera; Notodontidae
Description: tRNA-Val
Source: RNAcentral
CAAAUUAGAGCUUGAUAAAGUAUUUCAUUUACAUUGAAAAGAUAUUAUUUUUAUAAUUAAUUUGA